GAGCGGCUGAUUCGGAUUCCCGCUCACGGCCACCGUCGCUGCUGAAGCGGCGGCUCGCUGGCUGGUCCUCCUCUACAUCGACUCAGCCCGAACAAGCUCGAGCGAGCGCUACGAGGAGGAGAUGACAGUGCGAGCCGAGGCUCUAGUCAACUCCGGCAGGCGGCUGGUACAGAGGUACGAGCAGGAGAAGAGCCGUCUCGCCGACGGGCUGCUCCACCCACGCUUGCACGGAUGGCCGGAUGACGUCGCGGUCACCGAACGGCCAAACCACCAACCCGACGGACGACCCCCACCCGACCGCCAGCCCACGGGUACCCCCACCGAGUAAAUGACCCAACACGCAUCAUCCUGACACACUGACCAAAUAACUUACAGACCGAUAAUUCGCCACCCCAUCCUAUGACCCAAUAAAAUACUUUCGCAACAAUAUAUAUGAACCCGACACCCGACUUGCCCACCCUCUGACUCUAUAAGACACCGAGGCCAAUACAAUACACCGACUUGGUGAAACUCUGACCCAUCAAUCGACUCAUUUGACUUCGAGCCUAUCCACUGGAUCACCAGCUGACCUACUGAUCCAAUAAACACUCAAACCUGGUAACUUACUGACAAAAUACUGAUCCACCAAAUGACCCUAUAACCUUGCCAGCUAGGCUCAGACUCACGACCAGCUGAUCUAAUAAUCCAAAAACCCACUGUCCCACCAGGCUAUCCCCGCUAUGAAGGAGGGACCGGUAUUAUAAAUUAAUGUUGUGUUUUUGUUCCGCGUUUAGGCACCACUGCCAUUACUUGGCCAUAAACGUGUUUAAGCCCAGGAGUGUCUGUGCACUCAUCUUUCCCAAAUGGAAGCUGCUCGUGGUGGAGGCAACAUGUCACGUCUGGCAACGCAAAACUAGUUUAGCACCGAUGGAUUUGACUUAAACCACUCGUGCACAAGACCAGUUGAAAAAUUAUCCUGACAUUUUUAUAAAUUAAUAGUCACCGUGAGGAGGGUAGUUCCUUAAACAGCAUGCUCGAAGUGGUCGAGUGGCACGGACGUAUGUUCUCCUGUACGUGCAUUCCACGUAGUUAUGUUCUCCUGUAAACGAGGGCUACUCCUCGGAAAAUGUGCACAACGCACGCUGCGCUCCCACGGUUUCAUCUUUACAUGUCACAGCGAUCUGCAGGUUCUGCGCUUGUUUAGCUUGAGGCUGUAGUCAUCGCCGCGAUGCCGCGAGGGAGUCUGCUGAGUGAGCUCCUGCGGCCCGUUAUCAAUCGAAGGCUCGCGUUGCCGAGCCACGUGUCGCCAGGCUCGAUCGGAACACGACGGUGGCUGGGAGGGCUCGGCGGGUUGUUUAAAGUUCUUGGGAGACACCGCAAUGGGGGAUCAACGUAGGCUCGGAAUGAACUUAGCAAAAUUAUAUGACUUGAGAGAGAAGGCUGCAGAUGUGUGCGUCGUUGUCUCGUUACCAGCUUUUGUUGAACACUUGGGUGUCAUGUGGAGCAUUUCAUAAUUCUCGCGACAGACUGCAAAGGCUGAAGUGGAAUUCCUCACACAUCCGACACGACACAAUAUACGCACAGACACACGUAAACUUUACCCCCUGUAUUUCCAAUAUUCCUAUAACCGUGCUCGAUUCAAGACACUUAUUAUCUCUUUAUCGGUGACACCUUUAAUAGUCAUGUUUUUUGCUGGCUGUUUUGUGUGUGUGGGUCUUUGGGGCUGUCUGAUGAACAAAAAUAAAAUUAGUUCCUUGGGUGUU
This is a long non-coding RNA of Lethenteron reissneri (Far Eastern brook lamprey), 1742 nucleotides long. RefSeq lists it as uncharacterized. The record is from RefSeq and is a predicted model, not a curated record. NCBI's taxonomy places the organism in Eukaryota, Metazoa, Chordata, Hyperoartia, Petromyzontiformes, Petromyzontidae.